Molecule: non-coding RNA, 1491 nt
Organism: Pangasianodon hypophthalmus (striped catfish)
Lineage: Eukaryota; Metazoa; Chordata; Actinopteri; Siluriformes; Pangasiidae
Source: the annotation of a RefSeq genome assembly
AAGCCACAUGCCGUUCCUGUGUGGUAACCAUGCCUGUUCAGUAGCUGUGUCUUCAUGCAGCCUCUUGUGAAGCUGGAAAAGUCUCUUAUUAAAAACAUCAGUUACACUACAGUGACCACACACACACACACACACACACACACACACGUUUCCAUAGAGAGAGGUUCCACUUUGCAUUAGCAGCUCAUGCUUCAGCGCUCUGCGAGUGUUUAUAGCCCUGUGACUUUAACACUUCAUGACUGAGAGCUGCUGCUCAGCGACUUCACCCACAGCAACCAUGAGUUUGAUCAGCGUCUUCAUCUGCACACUGGCCCUCUGCGCUCGAGGAUCCAGAGGUCAGGUGACUGUGACUCAGAGUCCUGCAGUGAAAUCUGUUUCUCCAGGAGACACACUCACCAUCAGCUGUAAAACCAGUCCUGCUGUUUACCGCUAUGCUAGUGGCUGGAGCAGCUAUGACUGUUUGUCCUGGUAUCAGCAGAAAGCUGGAGAAGCUCCUAAACUCCUGAUCUAUUUAGGUAGCACUAGAGCAUCAGGUAUUUCAGCUCGUUUCAGUGGCAGUGGAUCUGGAUCUGAUUUCACUCUGACCAUCAGUGGAGUCCAGGCUGAAGAUGCUGGAGAUUAUUACUGUCAGAGUUACCAUUAUAUCAGUAGUAGCAAUGUGUUCACACAGUGUUAGAGCGUCGUACAAAAACCUGGGUGAGUGUGACUGCUGCAGCUGGGACCUACUGCAGGUGCUGAGGGGGACGAUGUGAUACAGCACAGUGACACACACACACACACACAACAAACUCACUACCCCAAGCACACACACACAGAAACACACCCUCACUACUCCACACACACACACAAACACAACACACUCACUACUCUGCACAGACACCCACACACACAAUGACACACACUGUGGAGGAGAACACACACACACACAUACACACGCACGCUCACUACUCUAUACACACACACACACACACAAACUACACUACUCCAAGCAAACACACACACACAUAUACACAAACAAACAUUACUCCACACACGCACACUCUCACUACUCCACACACACACACAAACACUCACUACUUCACACACAGACACACACAAACACAAUCACUAAUUCACACACAUACACAUACACACACACUCACUACUCCACACAAACACACACACAGAUCACUACCACACUAAGCAUACACAAAGCACUCUUUUUCAAAAAUACAAAAACCACAAAAACAGUCACUGAAUAAGCAUUUAAUGAACAUUUCACCGUUCACAAUUCUCCUUACCUUACACAAUGAGAUGAGCCACAAAACAAACAUUUCUCACAAGCUGCUGCAGAACAAAAAAGUAUUGCAUUUAAAUGACUUCUUCUCCUCUCAUAGUCUGGAUUUUAUGUUUAUCACUGAAUCCUGGAGAAAGGUUGGUGAUUUAACCACGUUUUCUGAAUCAGUUCCAACUGACUGUACAUUUUUUAACUCUCCCCGUCCAAACAGACAA